RNAcentral lists this ribosomal RNA (264 nucleotides) under Anopheles funestus (African malaria mosquito). RNAcentral's name for it is "eukaryotic small subunit ribosomal RNA". It matches the Rfam family "Eukaryotic small subunit ribosomal RNA", at positions 748 to 970 of the family's 1831-position model. The record is from RNAcentral. Lineage: Eukaryota; Metazoa; Arthropoda; Insecta; Diptera; Culicidae.
ACAUUUACCUUGAACAAAUUAGAGUGCUCAAAGCAGGCUAAGACAAAGCGUCCGGUCCUCCGUGGGGUUGGCGUUGGCCGAGAAUAAUCUUGCAUGGAAUAAUGGAAUAUGACCUCGGUUUAUACGAUUUCGUUGGUUUGUCAGAAACCUAGAGGUAAUGAUUAACAGAAGUAGUUGGGGCAUUGGUAUUACGGCGCGAGAGGUGAAAUUCGUAGACCGUCGUAAUGUCGUCAGUCGAUCCAGGUAUCACCCGCUCGACCCCUU